Molecule: ribosomal RNA, 247 nt
Filed under: uncultured bacterium
Lineage: Bacteria
Description: partial 16S ribosomal RNA
Rfam family: Bacterial small subunit ribosomal RNA
Source: RNAcentral
GGGUGCAAGCGUUAUCCGGAUUCACUGGGGUUAAAGGGCGCGUAGGUGGCUUUGUAAGUCAGUGGUGAAAUAUUGCGGCUCAACCGCAAAACUGCCAUUGAUACUGCUUAGCUUGAAUCACGUCGAGGUGGAUGGAAUAAUACAUGUAGCGGUGAAAUGCUUAGAUAUGUAUUAGAACACCGAUUGCGAAGGCAGUUCACUAGGCGUGUAUUGACACUGAGGCUCGAAAGCGUGGGGAUCAAACAGG